This is an RNA transcript of Galeopterus variegatus (Sunda flying lemur), 3060 nucleotides long. It is a transcript of the gene named hydrocephalus-inducing protein homolog, with no coding region annotated. Lineage: Eukaryota; Metazoa; Chordata; Mammalia; Dermoptera; Cynocephalidae. The record is from RefSeq and is a predicted model, not a curated record. The transcript has 19 exons.
AUAAAAAUAAUAAAAUGACAAGUAGAAGACUUGAGGAGUCCAUGGGGGCUGUUCAGAUGGGAUUAGUCAAAAUGCUCAAAGGAUUUCAAAGCAAGGUUUUGCCACCCCGAAGUCCAAAGGUGGUUACAGAAGAAGAAGUAAAUCAAAUGUUGACACCCUCGGAGUUCCUGAAGGAAAUGUCCCUCACCACAGAGCAGAGACUGGCAAAUACACGGUUGAUAUGCCGACCACAGAUCAUCGAACUCUUAGAUAUGGGGGAAACAACACAUCACAAGUUUUCAGGAAUUGACCUGGAUCAGGCAUUAUUCCAGCCCUUUCCAUCAGAAAUUGUGUUUCAGAACUACACUCCCUGUGAAGUCUAUGAAGUUCCUCUGGUUUUGAGGAACAAUGACAAGAUUCCAAGGAUGGUGAAAGUGGUGGAGGAAAGUUCACCUUACUUUAGAGUCAUCAGCCCCAAAGAUAUUGGCCACAAAGUAGCUCCAGGAGUGCCAUCCAUAUUCCGAAUCCUCUUCACUCCAGAGGAGAACAAGGAUUAUGCCCAUAUGUUGACCUGUGUUACUGAGAGAGAAAAGUUUGUUGUACCCAUCAAAGCUAGAGGGGCACGAGCCAUCAUAGAUUUUCCCGACAAGCUGAAUUUUUCCACUUGCCCUGUCAAAUACAGCACUCAGAAGAUUCUGCUGGUACGGAAUAUUGGCAACAAAGAUGCUGUGUUUCAGAUCAAAACCCGUAGGCCUUUCUCUGUAGAGCCAACUGUUGCAACUCUUAAUGUGGGAGAGUCCAUGCAACUGGAAGUGGCGUUUGAGCCACAGAGUGUGGGCAAUCACAGUGAAAGACUUAUCGUGCAUUAUGACACAGGUGAAAAAGUGUUCAUAUCUCUCUAUGGAGCUGCCGUAGACGUGAAUAUAAGGCUGGACAAGAAUUCCUUGAUCAUUGAGAAAACCUACAUAUCUCUGGCCAAUCAGCGAACUGUAACCAUUCACAACCGCAGUAACAUUAUCGCUCAUUUCCAGUGGAAGAUAUUUGCUACCCAGGAAGAGGAGGACAGAGAAAAGUUUGGGGUCUGUGAUGAUCUGAACAAAGAGGAAAAGAACGAGACUGAUUCGUUCCUUGAAGAGUGCAUUCUUGAUCCUUCACUCCGAGAACGUCUUGCCAUUCUCUCCCGCACAUUUGAGAAUCAGAGGAGGCUGGUUCAGGGAGACAGCAUGCUCUUCUUGAAUAACAUUUUCACCAUUGAGCCCCUGGAAGGUGAUGUCUGGCCCAACUCAUCAGCUGAAAUCACUGUGUACUUUAACCCUCCAGAAGCCAAGCUCUACCAACAGGCUGUUUACUGCGAUAUUUCAGGCCGAGAGAUCCGUCUGCCCCUCCGAAUCAAAGGGGAAGGGAUGGGACCCAAGAUUCAUUUCAACUUCGAAAUGCUGGAUAUUGGGAAAGUUUUUGUUGGAUCUGUACAUUGUUAUGAGGCGAUCCUAUCCAACAAAGGCAGCAUUGAUGCCCUCUUCAACGUGAUCCCUCCAAAUUCUGCUCUGGGAGCCUGUUUUGUGUUCAGUCCCAAGGAAGGCAUCAUUGAACCAAGCGGAGUCCAAGCUGUCCAGAUCUCCUUCAGUUCUGCCAUCCUUGGGCACUUCGAAGAAGAGUUCCUGGUCAGUGUUAAUGGGUCACCUGAGCCUGUGAAAUUGACCAUUAGAGGCUGUAUCAUUGGACCUACCUUCCACUUUAACGUUCCUGCUCUGCACUUUGGUGAUGUUUCCUUUGGGUUUCCUCAAACCUUGAUAUGUUCCCUCAAUAAUACCUCUUUGGUCCCCAUGAUCUUCAAACUGCGUAUCCCCGGGGAUGGCCUUGGCCAUAAAAGCAUUUCAAGUUGUGAGCAGUAUUCAGACAACAAAAGACCAUCUCGGACCAAGGAAGAAAUACCCACAAUGAAACCAAAAGAAUUCACCAUCACUCCCAACUGUGGCACCAUCCGUUCCCAGGGAUUUGCUGCUAUCAGGGUGACAUUAUGUUCCAACACUGUGCAGAAAUAUGAGCUGGCGCUGGUGGUGGAUGUGGACGGCAUCGGAGAAGAAGUGCUGGCGCUCUUAAUUACAGCAAGGUGUGUUGUACCUACCCUCCACUUGGUUAAUACCAAGGUGGACUUUGGACGCUGCUUCCUGAAGUACCCGUAUGAGAAAACGGUCCAGAUUGUCAAUCAUCAUGACCUUCCAGGAUGCUAUGAGGUCCUGCCUCAGGUGAGUGUACAAGGAUGCACCUGCCGUGCUGCUUUCUAGCCCCACUCCCUGCGGAGUCAUCGCCCCCCACAGCACUGUGAACAUAAUGCUGCACCUGGAGACCCAGGUCACUGGAGAACACAGGUCCACAGUUUACAUCUCGACCUUUGGGAGCCAGGACCCCCCUAUGGUAUGUCAUGUAAAGAGCAUUGGAGAAGGCCCAGUUAUCUACGUACAUCCCACUCAAAUUGAUUUUGGCAAUAUCUAUGUCCUAAAGGACUCUUCCAGGACUCUCAACCUAUCUAACCAGUCCUUCAUUCCUGCAUUAUUUCGGGCACGCAUGGCACACAAAAAAUCCCUUUGGACGAUUGAACCCAAUGAAGGCAUGGUUCCCCCAGAAACUGAGGUUCGACUGGCACUGAUUGCCAACCUGAAUGAUGUGCUGACAUUCAACGACACAGUCAUUUUGGACAUAGAAAACAGCAACACCUAUCAGAUCCCUGUCCAGGCUUCAGGAAUUGGUUCCACCAUUGUUACAGAUAAGCCCUUUGCUCCAGAACUCAAUUUGGGGGCACAUUUUAGCCUGGAUACCUAUUAUUACCGCUUCAAGUUGACCAACAAGGGACGUCGGGUCCAACAGCUGUUCUGGAUGAAUGACAGUUUCUGUCCCCAGGGCAAGCUGAACAAGAAGGGACAGGUUAAGAAGGGACAUACUGAUGGCCAGCGCCAGUCCAAAAGUUCCCAGGAGCCCAGGGACCCACAGAGCCCCGUGUUUCAGCUCCACCCCGUCAGGAUGGAGCUGUACCCAGGCCAGACGAUCAAUGUGAUACUCGAAGGCUAUUCUGCUAUUCCAAGA